ACGAACGCUGGCGGCGUGCUUAACACAUGCAAGUCGAACGGAAAGGCCCUGCUUUUGUGGGGUGCUCGAGUGGCGAACGGGUGAGUAACACGUGAGUAACCUGCCCUUGACUUUGGGAUAACUUCAGGAAACUGGGGCUAAUACCGGAUAGGAGCUCCUGCUGCAUGGUGGGGGUUGGAAAGUUUUGGCGGUUGGGGAUGGACUCGCGGCUUAUCAGCUUGUUGGUGGGGUAGUGGCUUACCAAGGCUUUGACGGGUAGCCGGCCUGAGAGGGUGACCGGCCACAUUGGGACUGAGAUACGGCCCAGACUCCUACGGGAGGCAGCAGUGGGGAAUAUUGCACAAUGGGCGGAAGCCUGAUGCAGCAACGCCGCGUGAGGGAUGACGGCCUUCGGGUUGUAAACCGCUUUCGCCUGUGACGAAGCGUGAGUGACGGUAAUGGGUAAAGAAGCACCGGCUAACUACGUG
RNAcentral lists this ribosomal RNA (467 nucleotides) under uncultured bacterium. RNAcentral's name for it is "partial 16S ribosomal RNA". It matches the Rfam family "Bacterial small subunit ribosomal RNA", at positions 29 to 507 of the family's 1533-position model. The record is from RNAcentral.